RNAcentral lists this unclassified non-coding RNA (384 nucleotides) under fungal sp. RNAcentral describes it as "partial internal transcribed spacer region". The stretch from base 1 to 46 matches the Rfam family "Eukaryotic small subunit ribosomal RNA", at positions 1786 to 1831 of the family's 1831-position model. Lineage: Eukaryota; Fungi. The record is from RNAcentral.
AAGUCGUAACAAGGUUUCCGUAGGUGAACCUGCGGAAGGAUCAUUAACACGUAUCCAAACGUUAAACAACCCCGUGAACAUACAACCUGGUCGCCCGCUCGCAUGGACAAGCCCAGUAAAUCAAGCCCCGGGAUGAUUUGGGACCUCUGUGCGCGUGAGAAAAACUGUAGGUCAAGUGACACGGCGUCCCCAAGUGACCAGUGAAUGAAAGUGUCGCUGGAGCGUCAAGGACGACUCUUCAAGAUUGCUAGAGGUCGACCACCGACCGUAUACUGAGCUUAACAUCGCUCCCUUCCGAACCCCACUUUAUUGCCUUGCCUGUAAGCAUCCAUACGGAUGGGCAGGCCCCCCGAACAACUGUUAACAAUGGAUAUCUUGGUUCUC